Long non-coding RNA from Cercocebus atys (sooty mangabey), 8728 nucleotides. RefSeq lists it as uncharacterized. Lineage: Eukaryota; Metazoa; Chordata; Mammalia; Primates; Cercopithecidae. The transcript is spliced from 3 exons. The record is from RefSeq and is a predicted model, not a curated record.
UGUAAAUUCUCCUGGAGCCUGUCAAGCUAUGUUUGAACUCGUUCCAGAAUAGUGGAUUUACUUUUUUUUCCCCACCAGGAAGAAUACUCGAGUAGACUGUAUUUUGCCUUGCUUUUCUUUUUUCCCUUUCUUUCUUUCUCUCUCUCUCUCUCUUUCUUUCUUUCUUUCUUUCUUUCCUUUCUUUUUCUUUCUUUUCUUCCUUUCCUUUUCUCUCUUUCCUUCUUUCUUUUUCUUCUUUCUUCUUUCUUCCCUUCCUUCCUUCUUUCUUUACAUUUUUUUUCCUCCAGAAGAAUGGAAACAAUAUUCAUUUCUCAUCAGUUCAGUAAUACAAUGCCCUUCAGUGUCCAUAUGAGCAUUUCAGUGGAGAAGAAAAGAAACUUUGCUACCUGGGAACUGAAGACUACUUAGUGAAGAUCCUGGUGUUACACAUCCAAUUGUUCACCUCCUUCCAAGACUAUGACAUUCCAGGAAACCUCCAGUCCUAAGAGGAACUGAUAUCUACAGUAUCUCCUCGAGGAAGUACAACCGCAGACUUGUCUUGGGACAAAAUUGAGAAGAACUCAUAAACUUGGCUUACUCGCGUCUGCUCCUCAGGUGAGUUUAAUUCCUAUUUCUAUUAUGCAAUGUUAUUGAAAAAUAUUUUCCCAGGUUUCUGUUGAAGAACUGCCUUUUUUGAUCUUUUCGAUGCUGGCACUCUUUUAGAAUUAACCGUGGAAAAACUUGAUGACACUUCCAUCCUUCUUGUAAAAUUCAUCUUUGGAGUAAUUUUACAGUGUGCGUUUUCCCCUUGGACAUUUUAAAGAGCUGGAUUUCCGUCUCUUUGCAGAGCAUUAUAGCAGCUGUGUCUCAUUUGCUUUGCAAGGGCAUUUGAAGAAAUUGCUAUUUUGUAAGCUGCUUAACAUAUGAAAUAAUUGUUUUAAAGCACUUUACAGUUUGCUUAGUGCUUUUUAAAAUGACAGUUGUUUCACCCUGUCAUUUCUUAUAGAAGCACAGGAUGUAUUAUUUACAUUUUUCAGAGAAGGAAAUAGAUGUACCGAAGACAUAACAGCGGCUUGGCAGGGCAAUUAAUCUCCUAAAUUAAUCAACAGAUUAAAAUCUCUCCCUUCAGAUCCUUUAAUACCUAUGACCAGAAAGCCUCAUAUCUUUUGACCUAAACAGGUAGACAGACAUACCCGCUUUGCUUCACAGCAAUUUGCAGUCUAGCUAGUUUUAGAUAUACCCUAAUAAGCUGCCUCAGUGACUGGAAGUCAGAACACUGUUUGGACAGAUUAAACAUUGUUUGGCUGUUUUUAUUAAAAGUGAUGUACUGGGUGGCUAAAAGCACUUGUUUCGGAGUCAGAUUGCUUGGGGUUAAAUCCAAAUUCCAACUUGUAUCAGCGGUUUGGACUUUGGUGAAUUAACCUCUCUCAGCCUCAUUUUUCUUACGUGUAAAAUGGGAACAAUAAUUGCAAAUUCGUGGAAUUAUUGUUGUGAGGCUUAAUUGAAUUAAUCCCUAUAAAGCUCUAAGCACACAGCACACAGUAAGCCUUCAGUAAAUGUUAGCUGUUAGCAUAUAGUGGUUCAAAAGGUGGUUACCUGGCCAUUUUUCCUGAGGUUCAUUUAGAUUGAUUUGUUUCAUGAAAUUAUACAUCUGGCCCAGUCAAGACCAGAUAUCUUAGUGGUCUUGAUAGAUAGUUGGUGGGUAGACAGAACUUGUACUAGUGCUUUCUCUGCUUUAGAGUGCUGUGAUAAUUACAACGUCUCAUUCCUCUCUCUAAAACACAAAGUGGCAAUGUUGUUCCUCCUGAGUAAUUUGCAACAUAGACAAAGGACCCCAUUCAGUACAGCCCAUGGUAUUCAACCUAGCACUUUUGGAAGGGUAGCACACAAAAAGGCAAAAGACAACAUGGGUUUUCUUAAAGUUCAAGGAGAAAGUAAAGUGCAGAAGUAGUACCGACCUGUGUAGUUGUGAACUGACUGUCGUUAGAACACAUAGGACUCAGUCCCACAUCUGCUUCUCACUUCCUGGGUAAACUGGGCAAAGCAUUUUGCUUCUCUGUACCUUUGUUUUUCCUAUUAUAAAUGGGAAUGAUAAUACCUGCAGGAUGACCAACUUGUCCCUUGGCCAUUCCCAUGGCAAGUGCUAUGUCCCAAAAGCCUCUCAGUCCUGGGGAAAACUAGGAUGGUUGGUCACCCUAAGUACCUACCUCUCUUCUCUUACUGUGGUCACCAUAUGAGCAACAGAAUAAAAGUGCUUUGACAUUUCAUGAAAUGAAGAAUAUAAUAAUCAACUCAAUUCUGAACACCCAAGUUCCAGAAAUAGUGCUUUGGGGUAUUGGAAGAAAAACAUAGCAAUACAGUACAUUAUAGUACCUUUGUUCUUAAGUAAGAAUAAUGCACCUUAAUUCUUGGUGCAUCAUUCUUGGUGCUGAGAAAUAUGUAACUGGAACCAUGUUUUAUGUCAUCCUUAUGUGUUUACAUACAUGUAAUUGAAAGUACACAAGAGUAUUUAUAUAGAAUAUUUAAGACAAGUACUUUCAGGUUGUCAUGAAGAUAAUUUGCAUUGGAAAAAGCUCGUAUGGAUCAUCUUUACUUCUUGAAAAGUUCUGUUUUGUACCCAAGGCAUAUUUUGGAUGUGACUGCCAUUUACAACAAAUUGAUUGGUUUUAGAAAACCUCAAAGGAAAACAAAAAAGUCUGAGGAAGGCGUCAUAAUUGAUCAUCUACUUGGUAUCAAAAAAUAAGUACCCAUCAAAGAAUAAUAGUACGUUGCCAGUAAUUAGUGUGAAGCAGCAAUGGAGUUCCAGAGAUAUGCAAAAAUAUCAACCAAUGUGCAUACUCAAGAAUUAGAGUAGUUUUCACAAAAUGAUUCAUUUGGUUUGCUUUCAUGUCAUACAGAGAUUACACUUGAGUGGAACUUCAAAAUGUAUAAGCAUGUAUUUGCUUGAAAAGUCAAAAGUUUGUUGAUUGACUUUUAUUUGUGUUUCACCCAGAGGCAUCUGACUAGAAUUAAGCCAAUGCAAACCCUAUAAAUGCCAAAGUGAGGUUUCUCAUAGAUAUAUACAGCAAAGAUACAAAACACAUAUGCAGUAUGUAUUAGUAAGAGCAUCAAAAUUAGCAAACUUCAUUAAACUCAGUUGCUUAUGUAAAUACAGAGAAGUAAGAUGUAUUUAAACAAUUAGCCUCAUUUUUGCUCAUUUUGUGCUUGGCUUUUGAAGUGGGACAUGCAAACCUCCGUUAAGGGAGAUUAAGGGAACUGAAGACCCUGAACAUGUCACACACUCUUUCUUCAUCUACCCUAGAGGACCAACUGCAGGCCUGGAUACAUGGUACUCAGUAAAGCCUUGUUAACUUACAUUGAGUGUUCUUUGUAUUAAUAAUCAUUCGCAAUAACAUAAUGAAACCAAAGUGAGAAGGGCAUGGCCUAGCAUUCCACAUUCAACUUUUCCCCAAGGAAUGAACUACUUUACCUCUCAGGCAGAAGCAAAGAACUCAUUCAAAAGCAGAGCUGAAGGCUGUUGGAGUUAUUGUUGUUUAUAUUUCUCUGGACAGAGGAGUAAUUAUAUUGGCUUCAAAGGCCUUUUCUUCUACCUUCCAUCCUGGCAUGCCAGUGCUGGAAGAAGCCUCCAUUCUGUUCCUACAUUUUACAAAUGGAAACCCAGAGAAGGAAACUAUUUGCCCAAGGUCACAGAUGCAGACCUUCUCAGAUAUUUGUUAAUCCUAAUUUAAUUUCCCCACAUUUCACUGAAUAGAGCUGCAGGUGAUUUUCUUGGCCUUGGCCCUUUUUUAGUUUAGGAAAUACCGUCCUUCCUAGAUCCUUCCCACCAUCCAGUGUUGUCCCAAUCCCACCACUUCUUAGACAACUCUCCUUCCUUCCAGUGCUUUCAAAUGGCAUUUUCUUUGCUCUCAUCUAGAACACCUGUACAUUCAUUCCAAGGUUUCAAGACAAGGGAAUCUUCUCGUUGACCCAAAGUGCUUUCUUUGAUAUAUUGAUGCAUCACUCCAGGCUUCUACCAAUUUCUCUGAGGCUUCAGGUGUGAGUCAGGGUUUUGCUUUAUGGUUAAUUUAGCUGGUGAUAAGAGCAAGCUGAAACUUGUGAGGAGAGACAUAAGUUGCAACAAACCGAGGUCAGAGCUGGAACAGAACCUCCAAGAAGACAGAUUGCCUGUGGCUCUGAGAGCAUCAUUCCCUCGACGAUAGUGAUGCAGACAGAAAGUAGAAAAAUGACAGUCUCCUUUGAGGGGCAGAUGAGGGCACAAAGGUUUUUCAAAACUCAGUCCCACAGAGAGGAAAUCUGCUUGAAUUUAUUCAGGCCCCUUCCUUUUAAAUCCUGAUUACCCUUGGCUCUGCUAGGUGCUGAAAUUUAUGCAUCAGCGACAGGUGAUUCUUAUGUAAGAAUGGACUCUCGGGCGUGAUAAAUUUGGUCUUGAGAAAUCUCAGCUCAGUGGCUACAGAUGGCAGUGUCAUGAUGGCAGAGUUAGAGAGCGGCAACCUGCUGGGCUGUGGGCUGUCUGUGAAAUGGCUACUCAGUUCAGAACUGUCUGAGCCAAUUCUUUGAGCCCCAAGGUCAUGACCAAGGGGCACAGCCCAACUGUAAAGUUGACAUUCAUUCUAGCAAAAUUCUUCCUUCUCCCUUGCACACUGCAUCUGGCUCACUCAAGGGUCCCUCAAGAAUUGGGUUGUAACCUGUGUUCUUUGUGAAUACCUUUAUCAUUUGGGGUCUCUGUCUAUCAUGACUAGUCCUGUUAAAGGUCAAUUCUAUGCUUGUAAAGAAUUGCUUACACUAGAGGUUUUGCACCAACUGGGUUGGGUUGGCCAAGGAGGCAUUUCUGUGCACUCAUCCCAGUCAGGUUCUAUCUGUGAUCUAGGUCCCUUUUUAGUGACAACUUAUAGUUUGCAGUUUCUUAACUUUAGUUUUGAAGAGUUUUGAAAUCCCUCAAAAGUACACAUGCACACAACUGUGAACAUAUAUGCCUCUCUCUAAGGAAAGGGUCUACCACUUUUAUAAAAUUAUUAUAGGAGUCUGAGACCCAACAAAUAAUGAGUCACUAUUGUAGAUGGAGAAAAUAUUCUGAAGCAACCCUUGUUUCCUUUCAACUAGAUUUCCCACUUUGAAUUUUGGAUUGAACCUGAUCAGAGGUAAGCAAUACAAGGCAAACUUGGGUCCUGGCUUAGACCCUGCCUCUACAUUUCCUGAGUAUGUGAGCUUAGACAUGCCACUUCUGUAUGUCUCACAUCCUUAGAAAAUUGAUAAAAUGGGGAAAAUAUUACCGGCCUCAUUAUGCCAUUGAGAAUUAAACGAGAAUAUGUGUACAUUGUGCAAUGCACCUGGCAUUUGAGAAGUAUUCAAAAACCAGUAGCUAAUAGUGGUGGGAGCCCCAUGGAACUCAUGUCCCCAGACUAUGUGGGCUGAUGGCCAAUGCCGUGUGUCUUCUUUCCUUCUGCAUUUUUAACUUUUUCCUGCCUUUGUCUAUUCACUGAGUCAUUAGCUGCCAUUUUAUAUUCCUCAUAAGUAUCAACAUAUUUUAACCACAACUCUUUUAAAAUGUUUUUAUAGAUUUAGGGGGUAUAAGUGCAAAUUUCUUACAUGCAUCUAUUGCAUAGUGGUAAAGCUUGGGCUUUUAGUGAACCCAUCAUCCAAACAGUGAACAUUUUACCCAAGGGGGAAUUUUUCAAGCAUCACUGUCCUGCUACUCUCCCACCUUUUAGAGUCUCCAAUGUCUAUGAUUCCACUCUGUAUGUCUGUGGGUGCCCAUUGUUUAGCUCAAACUUAUAAAUGAGAAUAUGCGGAAUUUUGACUUUCUAGUUCAAGGUUAUUUCCCUUAGGACAAUGGCCUUCAGUUCCAUCCAUGUUGCCGCAAAAGACAUGAUUUCAUUUUUUUUUUUUAAGACUGAGCAGUAGUCUAUGAUUUAAUCACCACUUUGAGAGUAUGUCAUCUCAUAUUCUGAGAUGCCAUAUCCUCAUCUUUAAGCCCACUUCUUAUGGGCAAAUAAUAAUUGUCAUUAGACUCCCAGAACCCCAUUAACAAACGUUACUUUUCUUUGAAAUGAACCUGUUUUAAUAAUUUUUAAAAUUUAUUAAUAAUAUGUAAUGUAUAUUUUAGCUACAGACAUUUUCUCUGCCUUACUUGUCUUUCUCUUCUCCAUUAUUAUUCCUCAUUCUUCUCUCCAAAGACCUCUGCAAACAUGACUUACCUUGGAAACUAUAAGAAAGGAUGGCCUCAUGUGAGGAUACUCAUCAUCCUGACAUUAAUGUGCUUCUCUUCUAUUUGGCAUUUGAGUCCAACAGUAUCUGAUCUCAGUCCUUCUUUUUAGAAUCAAUAUUUUCAUAGCAAGUGUAACAUCAUCCUAAAUAGGGAAUCCCAUUUUUUUUAAAGCUAGAGAUGGCAGUUUGGUGAGAUUGGCCAAAAAUAAUUUGAAGAAAGAAUGCACUAAGGGUGAAAAUGUUAUAUUUAUGAAAAUAUUAUGAAAGCUAAAUGUGAUGCACUUGAAAAAUAUGGCAGGAUAUUUCAUGGUAUAUUCAUGAAAUCUGUAUCCAAACUAUAUCAAUAAAUACAUGUUCAAGGGAAUAUAAACAUUUCUUCCAUGUAUGCAUUUCUGUUCAUCUAACUCAUUGCUUAACCACAGAAGGUAGUAAAUAAAUGUUUGUUAGAUGAAUAUUUAUAUUUAUAUUACAAUGUAAAUAACAUUACUUAUAUUUUAUUUAUAUUAUGCAGAUAAGGAAAAUACAAUAGUCCCCUAUGUAAUGUGUUGAUGAACAUAAUAUUUUGGAAGCUCAGUUAACUGAUAAACCACUAAAAGAAAGUGCCUUCUAUGUUUGUUUUCUAUGACAAAUAGAAAUUUUACAGACUAUGGAUGUAAGGCUUUUGAGUGAACCUUUGUGAGUGUGUGAGUUACCAUUUAGUUUGUUAGCUGUUUUGUCAUUACAUUCGUUCAGAUAGAAUAAUUCUUUAGAAGGCCACAGCAGUCUUGUGGACAUGCACCCUUCCCUCUUUAUCUCAAUCUUGGAUUUCAUAAAAGAAAUAACAAGCAAAAUUCGAGUGGUAUCGGCCUGCCUGAUUCAGGGGUGUCCAACCAAGUAAGGGCAGAAGCAUGUACUGUAAGAAGUUUCAAGAUCCUGUUGUCCCAGUGGGAUGACUCGCCUGAGAAGUCAGGGUGGAAGGAUAGCAGCUUGGCUGGGAUAUAGCUGCCUGCAUCAACCAACGUCUUCAUUAGGUGUCGCUGAGCCUGGGGCAUUGGGGCAUUCAGAAGCAAGUGGGCAUGUGCAAGGGUUAUAGAAACAGGAAGGUCACAAGAGCAAAAGAGAAUGAAACAAAGAAUUUAUCUCCCAAAGGAACAGUGUCAUUUUUCUUUCCUUUAUUGCUCUGAGAGUCCUGUAUUCACCUUUGGUUACUCAAUACUGUAUUUCAGGUGUGUUGCCCAUAUCCUUGCUUAUACUGCUCAUUAACCCUCCUUGUUUUACAAAAACAUUUAAGCAAAUACAACCUUGGUUCUUACCUGGUAUUUCUGUUAGGGAAUGAGAAAAAGUAAUCCAUAUUUAUUGGACAUCUAUAGGUGCCAAGCGACUUUAUGUACUCUCCAACUCAACAUGCUUUAGAUGGAAAAAACUGAAUAUGAGGAAGUUAAGCAACCUAUCCAGAGUUUCCGCCUAGGUGGUAGGACUGUGUUUGCGACCCUUGGCUGUCUGCCUCUGUAUUUCUACGUGGUAACUCCUUAGGACAAAAAGAAAAUUCUGAGAACCUGGAUAAAAGGACAUGCUUGGUGAUAAGAAAGAUUCUGUUUGAAGAUUUGUUUUCUUGUUUCCAUGCACUCCUUUUGUAUGCAGGUCAAUACAGGGGAACACUCAUUUUUUCUCCACAUAUGUAAGCUUGAGUCUUCCCCCAUCUUUCCUGCUAAUGCAACUACAAAGGUUCCAUGUUAGAGAUCAGGGUCCAUGACUUCCCUUCUGGUAUAGGGCAGGCCAGUAUGGUUAUGGGAGGUAAAAAUGUGGAACAGAGACGGAUUUGUCAGAGCCAGAUCAAAGGGUUGUGUAUGGCCAAAUACUGGAACUCCUUGGUUUUCCUUUUAUUCAUCUUGAUGUUUAAAGUAGUUGCACUUGAGCUUGAAUUUAUUCUAAAACAAUGUUGUAACUCACUUCUGGGUUCCUUUUUCAAGUAGUUUAUUUAGUGUUUAAAUUCCUGUGCCUUGAAAGUUUCUACCUUGAAAGUUUCCCAGAUGCCUUUCCUCCUCAUCCUCUAUCCCUGCUGCUCUUUCCCACUGAGCUUGAAUCCCUGGUGCAAAAUAUUACACUGAAUGCCAAGUGCAAGGCAACAGAUAUCUCUGUGAAAACUAAGUUAAACAAAAUCUGACCACUUCUAAAAACUUGCUGAAACAUACUGAAACACCUCUUGUGUUAGUGCCAAGGUCAGGGAGCCCAGACUACACUUGAGCACAGGCAUUUGAGUCUGUCAAAUGAGUCAAUCAAAUGGGAAUGUUGGAUUUUUUGGUCUGAUGCAUGUCAAUAUUGCUAUGUGUAAAAUAUAUCUGUUUGCUAUAUCGCAAUUUGCCAUCACACUAAACCAUAAGUUGAAGGAGUGACUGAUGUACUGAGUACAUUUGUCUUUAUAAGAAGUUCCUUGUUGCAGAGGCAGAUGAAUUUUUGUUGAAGAUUUUUUAGUCUCCUCUUUCUUCCUUUCCUCAUCUCUCCCUGCUCACCUGCCUCCUUUGUGCUUCCUUAACACUUCUACAAGAGAAGUAAUUUCUCUUUUUUU